RNAcentral lists this transfer RNA (73 nucleotides) under Escherichia coli. Its description in RNAcentral is "tRNA-Lys". It matches the Rfam family "tRNA". Rfam says of the family: Transfer RNA (tRNA) molecules are approximately 80 nucleotides in length. Their secondary structure includes four short double-helical elements and three loops (D, anti-codon, and T loops). Lineage: Bacteria; Pseudomonadati; Pseudomonadota; Gammaproteobacteria; Enterobacterales; Enterobacteriaceae. The record is from RNAcentral.
GGGUCGUUAGCUCAGUUGGUAGAGCAGUUGACUUUUAAUCAAUUGGUCGCAGGUUCGAAUCCUGAUUAGCUCA